CAAAUCUGAUAUCGGUGCAAAGAGUUAUGGUCGAUCUACUUUAGCUUAUCAAAAUAGUCCACCAAAGGACAGAUUUGACAUUAUUUAAAUUUUAAAGGCAUUUUGGUCAUUUCUUAUUAUAUUAUGGACGGAAAUAUGUGUAUAUAUACAUGUAUAUGGGUUCAAAAACUCAUUUUCAUCAUCAAUUAUUGAGAAAGAACAAACCCUAG
This 209-nucleotide long non-coding RNA is filed under the name Capsicum annuum. RNAcentral describes it as "long non-coding RNA (CANN_LNC013468)". The record is from RNAcentral. Lineage: Eukaryota; Viridiplantae; Streptophyta; Magnoliopsida; Solanales; Solanaceae.